AUUGAACGCUGGCGGCAGGCCUAACACAUGCAAGUCGAACGAGUGGCGGACGGGUGAGUAAUGUCUGGGAAACUGCCCGAUGGAGGGGGAUAACUACUGGAAACGGUAGCUAAUACCGCAUACCAUCGGAUGUGCCCAGAUGGGAUUAGCUAGUAGGUGGGGUAACGGCUCACCUAGGCGACGAUCCCUAGCUGGUCUGAGAGGAGGACCAUCCACACUGGAACUGCGACACGGUCCCGACUCCUACGGUAGGCAGCAGUGGGGAAUAUUGCACAGUGGGCGCAAGCCGGAUACAGCCAUGCCGCGUGUAUGAAGAAUGCCUUCGGGUUGUAAAGUACUUUCAGCGAGGAGGCGUUACUCGCAGAAGAAGCACCGGCUAACUCCGUGCCAGCAGCCGCGGUAAUAC
This 406-nucleotide ribosomal RNA is filed under the name uncultured bacterium. RNAcentral describes it as "partial 16S ribosomal RNA". It matches the Rfam family "Bacterial small subunit ribosomal RNA", at positions 30 to 526 of the family's 1533-position model. The record is from RNAcentral.